UUGCACUAGAGUUUGAUCCUGGCUCAGGAUGAACGCUAGCGGCAGGCUUAAUACAUGCAAGUCGAGGGGCAGCAUGGUGUAGCAAUACACUGAUGGCGACCGGCAAACGGGUGCGGAACACGUACGCAACUUACCCAAAACUGGGGAAUAGCCCGGGGAAACCCGGAUUAAUACCUCGUAACAUAAUGAAGUGGCAUCACUUUAUUAUUAUAGCUCCGGCGGUUUUGGAUGGGCGUGCACCUGAUUAGAUAGUUGGCGGGGUAACAGCCCACCAAGUCUGCGAUCAGUAACUGGUGUGAGAGCACGACCAGUCACACGGGCACUGAGACACGGGUCCGACUCCUACGGGAGGCAGCAGUAAAGAAUAUUGGUCAAUGGACGCAAGUCUGAACCANCCAUGCCGCGUGGAGGAUUAAGGCCGUCUGGGUUGNAAACUGAUUUUGUCGUGGGAAGAGAUGUAAUUUUUCUUGAGUACUUGACGCGAACAAAGGAAUAAACAACGCGCUGAAUCCGCGCAACACAGGCCGAAGACUGACGGUGCUACAAAACUACGGACUAAUGGGUCUCAAAGGCGCGACGACAGAAGCGCACCUACGGCGAAAUCCCCAGUAUUAACCCCACCACUACGGAUUACGGUAUUAGGACAAAUACCAUUAAAACCACCGCACACCCCUAGACCCCAGAGUUACGCUCACUCUGUGAAUACAACCUCAUCCUCGAGGUUUCGCUUCUGAAUGACAGUGUAUGUUGCCACGUAGCUCCCGAUUUUACCUGUGGGUUGGAUAGAAUAGAUAAUAAUACA
This 802-nucleotide ribosomal RNA is filed under the name uncultured Sphingobacteriales bacterium. RNAcentral describes it as "bacterial SSU rRNA". The stretch from base 9 to 512 matches the Rfam family "Bacterial small subunit ribosomal RNA", at positions 9 to 546 of the family's 1533-position model. Lineage: Bacteria; Pseudomonadati; Bacteroidota; Sphingobacteriia; Sphingobacteriales. The record is from RNAcentral.